ACGUACACUCCUACGGGAGGCAGCAGUGGGGAAUAUUGGACAAUGGGCGCAAGCCUGAUCCAGCCAUGCCGCGUGAGUGAUGAAGGCCCUAGGGUUGUAAAGCUCUUUCACCGGUGAAGAUAAUGACGGUAACCGGAGAAGAAGCCCCGGCUAACUUCGUGCCAGCAGCCGCGGUAAUACGAAGGGGGCUAGCGUUGUUCGGAUUUACUGGGCGUAAAGCGCACGUAGGCGGACUAUUAAGUCAGGGGUGAAAUCCCGGGGCUCAACCCCGGAACUGCCUUUGAUACUGGUAGUCUUGAGUUCGAGAGAGGUGAGUGGAAUUCCGAGUGUAGAGGUGAAAUUCGUAGAUAUUCGGAGGAACACCAGUGGCGAAGGCGGCUCACUGGCUCGAUACUGACGCUGAGGUGCGAAAGCGUGGGGGGCAAACAGGAUUAGAUACCCGUGUAGUCCCAUGAU
This 456-nucleotide ribosomal RNA is filed under the name uncultured organism. RNAcentral describes it as "partial 16S ribosomal RNA". It matches the Rfam family "Bacterial small subunit ribosomal RNA", at positions 329 to 801 of the family's 1533-position model. The record is from RNAcentral.